This 11903-nucleotide long non-coding RNA is filed under the name Homo sapiens (human). Its description in RNAcentral is "non-protein coding lnc-NAXD-6:4". The record is from RNAcentral. Lineage: Eukaryota; Metazoa; Chordata; Mammalia; Primates; Hominidae.
GUUCUCCAGCCGAGGCUCGGGACUGCUGCAGGGUGGAAAAUGAAAGUUCUGAGAGCACCUUCCGCCCCUCCGCUUCUGCACAGCCGGGGCUGCGGUGCGAGGAGCUUGGCCGCGGGGCCCGAACGAGGCGAAGGGGCCGGGGCCCUUGGGGAACCCCCUUCUCUCUUCCACUCUCCCUUAGGUAAAACCCGUGUUCCUCUCACGCUCGACCCAGCGCCUUUCCAGCUGCGGUCGAUUUGCUUCUCCGCGUGUAAGUACAGCCACCCUCAAGGUCAUUGAAAAAGUUUGCUUUAAAUGAGCGUCUGCGGAACUCGUCCUGAGGCUCUCACUGUUACAGAUUAGAGAUGGGGGCGCUUUCUAGUGGAGGAUUUUGCUUUUGCUCUUCUACUUUUGCAAGAAGCUUUUUGUCCUGAAAAGUGGACAGUCAUCUCCAUUUAUAGCUUGGAAUGAAAAUUUGACUAUGGAAGUUGCAGUCGCUACUUGAGAAAUAUUUCCUCCUUCUUUUUUUUUUUUUUUUUUUAUUUUUGACACGGAGUUUUGCUGUUGUUGCCCAAGCUGGAGAGCAGUGCGCGAUCUCGGCUCACUGCAACCUCCGCCUUCCGGUUUCAAGCGAUUCUCCUGCCUCAGCCUCCCGAGUAGGCGGGAUUACAGGUAUGUGCCACCAUGCCCGGCUAAUUUUUGUAUUUUUAGUAGACACGGGGUUUCACCAUGUUGGCCAGGCUGGUCUCGAACUCCUGACCUCGUGAUCCACCCGCUUCGGCCUCCCAGGUCCUCCUUCCGUUUUAAAGGAUAAACCUUGAAAUGCUUUUAAAAUAUGCAGCGUGUAGAAUUUGGUUAGUUGGUUGGUUGGGGUUUUUUAGAGAAAAUGAGAGGUAGAAUGGACUCUAAGUUAAACCCUGGGGGACAGUGUCACUCUGGCCGCUGGCCUGGCUGGGAAAGGCGAUGAGACCCUGAGCAGGUUAAAACCCGUGUCCUGAAGGUGUCCUGUAAAGGGAAAUAGGCCCGUUGCCUCCUUCGUAGGUGCCCUGAGACUCCGACAAGGCAGGAAUGCCAAGGUAUUUCGUACCUGCUCAGCCCUGGCAUGUCAGGUUGCUGAGACCGAGCAGUGUGGGGCUGAGGUGGAAGCGGACCUUCUGGGGCGUGGAAAGCGCACCAGGAGACCCCGGCUCCUUCUCAGCCAGCACUGCCUCAUCCUCAGAACAAAUUUAAGUCAAUUCAGCAUUUAUUCAAUGCCUGUUGCAUGCAAGUGACAACCUAAAUAACAGAGAGGAUCUCUAAAAGAAACAGAUAUUUAUUUUGCAAUAGAGCUUUGCAGUAGAAAUAUGCAUGCCAUGGUAAACUUGUGCAUAUUCAGAGAGGCAAGGAAAGCAAAGGCUUUAAAAAAAAUGAGGCGGAUUGCACAAUUGUUUGAAAAUAAUUAUCUGUGGCUACAAAGAUCCAUAACGAAGGCGAUGCCAGUUCAAAGUAGGACAGCCAGUGGCUGGGCCAUGUCCUUGCAGGACUAGUUUUUUGUGGGAGAUUGCAGUGGCCUUUGUGCAAGGUUGCGGUUUUUCCAGAGAGUCCUUUUUGUUAUCAGGCAUGCACGCGCAAGAACCCUCUCUUCAUGGCCUUCCCCGGCUCUGUUUGUCAGGGUUUUCUUAACAUUAGCGGCUCCAUUUCGAUUCUGACAAUUUUCACACAAGCUACAGUGCCUGGCCUGGGACGACACAAACAUGAGUCAGGUUUGGUGCCUGUUGGCCAGGCGCAGUGGCACACACCUGUAAUCCCACCACUCUGAGAGGCCGAGGCAGAUGGAUCCUUUGAGCCCAGGAGUUCAAGAUUAGCCUGGCAACAUAGGGAGACCCCCGUCUCUAUGAAAAUUACAGAAAAAAUUUGCCAUGCAUGGUGGUGUGCACCUGUAGUCCUAGUCCAAAGUUGCUUUGACUAUUCUGGAACAUUUACACUUCCAUAUGAAUUCUGGAAUCAAUGUAUCUAACCUCAGGAAACACAUUAAUGACAUAUAUAGUUAAAUUUAGGAAGAGUGGAUAUCUUUAUAAUAUUAAAAUGUCCCAUUUAUGAACAUGGUAUACCUCUCCAUUUAUUCAGCGGGUGUUCAAGGCUCACCUAGAAUUUUUACACUUCUUUCUACUUUUUUACCAUCAGGAAGUUUAAUCACUUCCUGGAGCAUGCUUUUUGAUUCUCCAAAUUUUACCCCCUGUCUGCUUCUCUCACCUGAGCUCUUUGUCCAUUUCUUCAUCCACCUACUAAGCCUUUCUACAUGGAUGUCUCAAUAUGGCAACCCACCACAUCGUUCAUCUGCCCUUCUGUAAAUGCAGAGUCAUUCAUUCUUUCACCUUCUUUAUAACCAUAUCCAAUUCAUCACCAAGCCCAAUGGAUUUUCCCUUCUAAAUAAAUCCCUCUAACAUCUUCUCUCUCUUUUCCCACAGACGCCCACUUGUCUGGAACCUUCUUACACCUAAAUAGUUAGAAUCCACUCCUAUUUGGUCUCCUUAACUCCAAGCUCCUGCCGUCCCAAUCACUGUCAGACUAACCUUUCAUAACCACUGCUUUCUCUACCCAGAGACCUGCCACGGCUCCCUACUUUCUAUCUCCACAAGUCCAAAUCCUGCCCCCCGCCACACACACACACACACACUUACCACCCUUUUUACAGUAGCUCUCCCGCCUCCUUUAGCUCCUGUUGCCCUGUGUGUGGCUUAUUUACAGGUUUGAUGGUGCAGUUUCCUUCUCUAGGGUGUUAGCUCCAUGGGGAAGCAGCUUCUUCUGUGUUGUUCACCACUGUGCCUGGUGAACACCACUGCACCUAGCACACAAUGGGCACUGAAGAAGGCACUGAGUCGCAGAAGAAUGAAUGAAUUCCCCUCCCUGGUGAGGCCAGAAGCAACAUCCUGUAAGCAUAUCAUGACCAGCUAUUCUCCACUUCAUUGCUCACUGAGUUUGCCCACUUGAAAAGCCCUCCAACCCCUCAUCUGUGCAGGUUUGGAAUUCUGUGCAGGACUCAGGGAUUCCAUGAGGUGCAGCCCAGGCACACCCCCUUCUAAUCCUCUCCCUCUGGGGAGACCUUUCCUGCUCCUUCAUAUGAGUUUCUACCACCCUGCUGGCCUCUUCGAUGCAGUUUAGCCCCUGACAAUGACUAACGGACUCAUUUGACUCUCAUCAUCUCUAGUAAUUUAAAAAUUCCCUAGGGUCAGGGAGCAGGUCCUAACCUCAUUCAACACCUCACCCAGUGCCUUGUCCCUUUCUCAGCACAUUCUUCUACUCAGUAAAUGUUUGAAGAAGCCUCAUGAGGGCAGGAAUCUUUGUGUUUUGUUUCUCUUAUGUCUCCCAAGUACCUGGCCCUGGAAGGCAAUUGAUGCUCAAUCAAUACACAUUUUAAUAAAUUCGCUAGUGAACUGAAACACCACCUGAAACACUGCUGCUUUUAGAGUUUGUGGAGGGAGGGACUGUUCCCUGCACCUACCCCAGUGACUGGCACCUGGAAUUCACCGAGCAAGUUGGUUGAAAAAGUUAAAGGAAUUUUCCAGCACUUUGAAAACUAAACCAAGAGAAUGUCUCCAUAUCAAAUUUCAGCCACUCCUUAUAAAAAUGUCUUAAAGGCUGUAAAUCACCGUAUUCACCUGCAGGAAGCAGUGUUGAGGAAGGAGGUAGUAUAGGGUUAAGGGUCUAUUUAAACCAGCUGCUUAGGGCCAAGUUAGAUGUUUAUUCUGUCUAGUUUAAACCACUGGCUUAACAGGGUACUUAAUUUUCCAGUUUCAUCAAAGAAAUGUGCUGUGAGGCCAAGAAAAUUAUGUAGUUCAUUUUUUUAAAAGAGAUGCAAACUGAGAAAUUCUGUGACCAUUAACAGUCUCAUUAAAGAAAUAAGAAAAUAUGAUUGUUUCUCUUAGAUUUUGCAAAAUGGCUAAGGAGCAUUUUUAGACACUUUGUUGUAGAACAACUCUCUUUUAAGCUACUUUCCUCCUUUCUUAAAAACAAAAUAUAGGCCGGGUGUGGUGGCUCACACUUGCAAUCCCAGCACUUUGGGAGGCUGAGGCAGAUGGAUCACCUGAGGUCAGGAGUUCGAGACCAGCCUGGCCAACAUGGUGAAACCCCAUCUCUACUAAAAGUACAAAAAUUAGCUGGGCGUGAUGGUAGGCACCUGUAAUCCCAGCUACUUGGGAGGCUGAGGCACGAGAAUCGCUUGAAUCCAGGAGGCAGAGGUUACAGUGAGCCGAGGUCAUGCCACUGCACUCCAGCCUGGUGGUCAGAGCGAGACUUUGGCUCAAAAAAAAAAAAAAUGUAUUAUCCAUUUAUUAUGUACUCAUUCAGCAGAUAGGAGCAAAAGCGCCCAUUCUACUCUUAAGUCCCAACCCAGAAAUAGAGCAGUGAGGGAAACUGACAGCAUCCUGGGCCUCAGCACCUGCUGGGAGAAAGAGCCAACAAAAUACACAGCAACACACAGGAUAUAGCACCCUUGGUGUUGAUUAAACGCUAGAUGAAGAAAAGGGAGGAGGAGACGGGAGGAAUGCAGGCUGAGGCGGUGGCAGGGGGCUCCAUUUUAAACAGGAUGUCGACAAAGAUAGAAUUUCAGCGAGUGCUAGAAUGAGGUAAGGACUUACAUCAACAAUCUGCCCGCACCAUUUCUUCUUAGAUUUCAGAAACUGUUUUCGUUUGAUUCAAUACUGGUGCCUUCCUUCGGUUCAUUUUCUGUUUAUCAUAAAAAUUAUCCUAGGUCUUCAAAACUAAUUUAAUGGAAUUGUAUAGAAAUGGAAAUAAAAGUGACUACAAGCUUCAAAAAGGUAGAUUUUGGGUAUAAAGACAAUCUUAUAUAUUUUUUUCUUUUUCAAGACAAAGUCUCACGUUGUCAUCCAGGUUAGAGUGUAGUGGCACGAUCUAGGCUCACUGCAACUUCUGCCUCCCCGAUUCAAGCGAUUCUUGUGUGUCAGCCUCCUGAGUAGCUGGGACCACGAGCGUGCACCACCACGCCUGGCUAAUUUUUGUAUUUUUAGUAGAGAUGGGGUUUUGCCAUGUUGGCCAAGCUGGUCUCAAACUCCUGGCCCCAAGUGAUACACCUGUCUUGGCCUCCCAAAGUGCUGGGAUUACAGGCGUGAGCCACCAUGCCUGGCCAAAGUGGUGAAUUUUAUAUUAGUGUGGUUUUGCAGUGGCUAGGUCUGUGCAAACCUAUCCCCAAAGGCCAAGGAAACUGACAGGCUGAAUAAAGAGGCUGACAUACCCAGUUUCCUAGAAAGAAACAUUUAGGGCCAGGCGGGAAGACUCACGCCUGUAUCCCAGCACUUUGGGAGGCUGAGGUGGGUGGAUCACCUGAAGUCAGGAGUUCGAGACCAGCCUGGCCAACAUGGUGAAACCCCAUCUCUACUAAAAAUACAAAAAUUAGCUGGGCCUGGUGGUGCACACCUGUAAUCCCAGCUACUCAGGAGGCUGAGGCAGGAGAAUCGCUUGAACCUGGGAGGUGGAGGUUGCAGUGAGCCCAGAUUGCACCAUUGCACUUCAGCCUGGGCAACAAGAGUGAAACUCCAUCUCAAAAAAAAAACAAACAAGAAAGAAAAGAAAAGAAACAUUUAAUAAAGAUUGGCGAACAGAAGCCGUGUCUGUGUCUUGGGCACCCUUACCUGCCAGACGCAGGCCUUCUGUACUACAGCAAAAGGGUGACUCAGAGGGGAUGUGCAAGGGAAUUGAAGGACGAUAACAUCAAGGUUGUUUCAACCUAAGGACAGGAUUUACAAUGAGGACCUGCUCUUACUCAAGGAACAAUAAACUGGAAAUCCUAGAGGCCUUCCCAGAACUGGGGUUAGUCAGAAGUGAACCCGGCAGAUCGCGUCCCAGGUGGAGCUGCUUUAGCCUCCGUAUGUAUAUUUCACCCCCAAGAAAGGUUAAACCGAACUGACAACAGAGACAUUCCUCUCUGUACCUCUAUUCAAUAAUGAGGCACAGCAAACUGUAGAACGCAUGACAACCACAGAUAAGGAAAGCACUCGCACGGUCCUGACGCCAUUGCCCACCCUGACAUUCGUUCAUGGAGGUCGCCUGCACAUUCCAUCUUAUUCAAAGGGGUGGUGGAAUGGGGUGGGGGGAGAGCAUCUGCUAUUAUCUCCGGUCGAGUGCUAGAGGCUUGAGCCCACAUCUGGGGUCUGAGAGAGGAUCCUGCACUAGGAACUGGGACUUGAUAAUGGCCUCGAGGACAGCUUGGAGCGUAGAAAAUAUUUUUGGGUUCACUGACAUUUUAACUAUAAUUUUAUAUAAGAACUUAAAUCAUCAAAAUGGGGGAUCCAGGACUCUGUCCUCUUUAUGGGGCUGCUGGGCAAACUGACUCGCAGAGAGAUGAUGAGCCAUAAACAUCCACUCACAAGCGGGAGAAAGUCAAUGGAGACCGUGUGGAAACCACUUCCCCUGCUUAAAAAUCACCAAAGCCGUAAUGAUGGACAGUGAGACAGCAGUGACCCUCAGUAUUUCAAUGGGACGUGAAUAAUGUUUAAUUGUAUGUUCAUAUAUUGCUUAACAGUUUUAGAAAAUCUGUUCUUCUGCAGCACUAGCCUGCUCUGCCCAUCCCAAAAGUGAGUGGUGCCUGAAGGAAUUCUGAGCCCCUCUGUGAGAGGAAGCGCGUCUGUCUUUUCUUUACGACCCCGGCACUGAGCACAGGGCUUGGAAUACUAUAAGAAAUAAACACAUCUUUUAAAAAUAGUGAAAAACGGAGAGAACAUAAUCAAAUGCCCAUGUUAUUAUUCACGGCACGAGUGUCUUAGAGAAUACAGGUGUUUAGGGCUGAAGUGAGUCCCCCUGAGAUUCAUGCUGAAUCUCUAACCCUCAGCACCACACACUGAGCCUGAGCUUGAAGAGGGGGCCUUGAAAGGGUGAUUAAGUUAAAAUUAGGUCACUGGAGAGAGUCCUAAUCUAAUGUGACUGGUGUCUUUAUAAGAAGUAAUUAGGACACAGACACAUGGACCAAGGGGCAGCCAUGUGAGGCCUCACAUGGGUGGGAAGGUGAACCCAGCCCGGCCGACACCUUGAUCUUGGACUUCCAGCCUCCAGAACGGUGAGAAAACAAACAUCUGUUGUUGAAGCUGAUAUAAGAGUUAAGAAGAAAUCACUUAGGCAGAUAGUAAGGGUGUGAGUGUCCUCAAUAAGGCUUUUAUUUUUCAUGAAAAGCAGCCCCAGAUCAUUUUCUAACAAAGAGCAUCCUGUAAAGUGGAGCUGCAGACAUGGACAAGCAGGCUGGGAGCUUGCACGGGUGAAUGCCAGCGGGAACUAGGGUCUAGAAACGUUCAAGAUGGCGGCUGCAUCUUCCCUUCUCUGCCAGCCACGUGUAAUGUAAGGAGCAGAAAAAAUGGCACCGAUGGCCCAUCAACUCAAAAGCCCAUUUGCAUAAUAAGAUUAGGGUGGGGUGACCAGCCUUCCUGGUAUGCUAUGUAAACGCCAUACGUGAUCAAACCAAUUUGUGAGUCCUAUGUAAAUCAGACACUGCCUCCUCAAACUGGACUAUAAAACCGGGCGCAUUCACCACCAGCCAGUCUUUUCCGAUUGGAGACCCCUUUCUCUAUGGAGAGAGCUGUUUCUCUUUCUCUUCUCUUCUGCCUAUUAAACCUCCCCUCCUAAACUCCUCGUGUGCGUCCGUGUCCUAAACUUUCCUGGUGCGCGACAACGAACCCCAGGGUAUAUACCCCGACAACGUAGCUGCUUCAAAGCCACCAGGUCUGGAUGCUUUGUUGUGGCAGCACAGGAGGACUAGGGGGAAAAGAGGCCUCUGUUCUUGUUCCCAAGGAACAAGAAUGGAUGGAAUGGCCAUCCGUUUGUGGGGAAUCAAACAUAAAGACCCACAUGCAUCAUGAGACAGAUGUGUGGACAAGCCUCGAGACAUAAUAGGCAUUGCGUGUGGUCCACACUGCCAAGGGCUGGAGUCAGGGAAAAGGGAGAGGGGGUGGACAACGUUCUCAGCACCCAGUUAUGCUCAAUAAAUAUCUGUAGCCUGAAUGAGUCUGAAAACUUGAGCUGGAGUCAGUGAGGAAUACAAAAUCAAGAGAUGUAAAGAGGAAGAAGUGUUCGAGCACCUUGGCUCACGCCUGUAAUCCCAGUACUUGGGAAGGCCGAGGCUGGUGGAUCAUCUGAUGUCAGGAGAUCAAGACCAGCCUGGCCAACAUGGUGAAACCCUCUCUCUACUAAAAGUACAAAAAUUAGCUGGGCAUGGUUGUGGGUGCCUGUAGUCCCAGCUACUCAGGAGGCUGAGACAGGAGAAUCGCUUGAACCAGGGAGGCGGAGACUGAGUAAGCUGAGAUCGCGCUACUGCAUUCCAGCCUGGGUGAGGCAGAGUUAGACUCCGUCUCAAAAAAAAAAGUAAGAAGUGAAAUAUUUCAAGGCGGGCACAUCCACAAAACACCAGAAAAGGCAAUGCUUUCACAGAGAAGACAAACCAUCUUCUUUUCUCUCCUCGGUCAGAGACCAUCUGAUGCUCUAGACAGUGGCUGCAGUACUGGCAAGACAGGCAAGUCAAGGAGGUAACAUGGACGAAUUUGCACAACUUAGAAAAGACCUGUAGGUAUAAUGUUAAAAACAUUCAGCCCGGCGUGGCGGCCUGAGCUACUCUGGAGGCUGAGGUGAAAGGAUUGCUUGAGCCCAGGAGUUCAGCUGCAGUGAGUUAUGAUCAUGCCAAUGAAUAGCCACUGCACUCCAGCCUGGGCAACAUAGUGAGACUGCAGCUCUAAAUAGUUUUUUUUAAACUUUUUUUUUUUUUUUUUUGGAGACAAGGUCUGGCUCUAUUGCCCAGGCUGGAGUGCAGAGGCAUGAUCUCUGCUCACUGAAACCUCUGCCUCCCAGGCUGAAACCAUCCCCCACCUCAGCCUCACAAGUAGUGUGGACUACAGGUGUACACCACACCUGGCUAAUUUUUGUUUUUUGUUUUUUGGUUUUUGUUUUGUAGAGACGGGAUUUCUUCAUGUUGCCCAGGCUGGUCUUGAACUCCUGGGCUCGAGAGAUCUUCCUGCCUCCGUCUCCCAAAGUGCUGGGAUUACAGGUUUGCACCACUGUGUCCGGCCAGCAAGUACUUUGGAAUAGUUCCUUAUUCCGUCUGCAAAGGACGGUUCCUAGGGCUUAGCAAGGGGAAUUUGAACUGUUAAAGGAAAAACCUAAGCCUAAAGUAUUAAACUAUGGGGAAGGGCCAGGUGCAGUGGCUCACACCUGUAAUCCUAGAACUUUGGGAGGCCGAGGCGGGCGGAUUACCAAGGUGUGCCUAUAAUCCCAGCUACUCUGCAGGCUGCGGCAGGAGAAUCGCUUGGAUCCGGGAGGCAGAGGUUGCAGUUAGCAGGCCGUUAGGAAAGGUAUUUGAGUCCUGUGACUUUCCACUAUCCAGCAAAUCACAUCUGGUAGCUGUUAUUCUCCUUAUUAAACACAGAUAUCCAUGUAGAUAAGCAUAAUCUUCCCUUCAUGCUUUUCCUUUCCUUCAUUCAUUUCCUUCAUUCAGAGCCGAGAUCGUGCCACUGCACUCCAGGCUGGGUGGCAGAGCAAGACUCCGACUAAAAAAAAAAUGAAAAUAAUAAUAAACUAUGGGGAAGAAUAAAGAAGGAAUUGCCUACAUUUAGAGGGAGGUAGAAGAACAAAAAGAGGAAAAUAUAUAACUAUUUUAAAACCUUUUUAACAUAAGUCUUUCAAAUCCUAGAAACUUGGGACUUGUGUGAGGGGAGGACCCUUCUCUCACUCUGUUAUACUUUCUGAAUGUUUUCAAAAGCACUGUAGACACGGUGAUGCUUAGAACUGGGGGAGGCCAGGCCUCCUGGAAGAAGUUUGCUGAGGGCCUGUGGAUAGAGAAGCAGAAACAGGAACACAGCCUGGGGCAAACAUCGUGCGGAUGAUGGGCAUCUCAAACACUGGAAAUAAAUGAGGCUGCGGGAGCAAAAUUGCUGGUUCCCCUGCUGAGCACACCUGCCCUGCUUGGAACAAGAGCAAAGAUGUCUGGUGGGGGAGCCGAUGUGAGAUGGAUGGAUAGACAGGGCCCCCAGCCUGGGGGAUGGGACCAGGGACCAUUUGUGAGAUAAACCCAGGUAUUAGCCCAGGGCAGAGGCUCCCAGCUGACCUUAAAACAGAGGCAGCCCAGCUCCACCCAGCACUUCUUCAGCAGGCCUGGGCUGGGGGUCAGAGAACUCGCAUUUCUAAGAUGUUCUCAGACUGAGGGACCCAGUGGAAAAGCGUCCUGAUUACUGGGUUAUAAACACCUGAAGAGUUCUGAAAGAAAUGGGCCACACCCUCAGGAUCCAAAGUCUUAAAGGAAAGCUGAAGAGGUGUCCUGUGAGUUCAGGGGCACCCCGGUGAAGCCUGGGGCUUAGAAAGAAAAGAAGUGUUUAUACCAGGAGAGCAGAGAGCAAGGAGCAGGGAGGGGCCAGGGCAGCCCCCAAACCGGAGCCCGAGGCCGGACCCUGCCUCUGACGAGGAGCAUGCCCGGCCACCAUGCUGACCCCUGCAUCCUUCUUUCUUUGUCCCUUGAAGCCCCUCAAAGUCCUUCCUGAGACACAUCCCCUCCCAAGGCACACCCUGGAGGGUCUCAAGACUUGAAAAUCAGUCAAGAAGCAGGCAAGGAGUGAGCUGAUCACUGUAGUUAAAGAGACGGCACCAAAGACAUUGUACAAAAGAGGGCAGGAAGAUGUCCAUGUGUCUGCACCAGACCUUCUGCGCCAGUGAGGGAUGCUGCAGGCAAAGGCAGGGCAGAUGGCAAGAGGGUCCCUACCCAGCCGCAGCACCCGGCAAUGCCCACCAGAGCCGACCCCCUGCCCGUGUUCUGUGAGUCCACGUCGUCUGCAUCAGGGUGCUGAUGGCAAAGCCUCCGGGUGUCCCUCCGUUGCAGGGUCUACUCCUGCAGUGUGGACAGCAGAGACGGAGGAAGUUCUCCCAAGUGCGGGGAGGUAGGCUCUGUGGGAAGCCCUUCACUCAAAGGCACACUCAUGGUUUUGUUACCAGAGCAGCUGAAGAAUUCAAAGUAGCUUCUGAGAACUCUAACUGUCUGGACCAUGCUAUAGUAAGGGCUAAGCUAACUUAAGAGCCAUCCAAAAAAAAAAAAAAAAGAAGAAGUGAAAAGGUGAUUGAUGUCAGAUGUAAACCCAAGAGGGUAACACAGCAAUGCUGAGACAUCCGAAACAACUUCCUAUUAGCUGUCCAGGACCUUAACCCAGGUCUUAAGGGAUCCUGUCUUUUUUAGUCUAAGGCAGUUGAAUACUAAAUUAUUAAAACAGGUCUUAUUUUAUGACCCUAAUCAUCGACAAGAGGCGCCUUUUGUUGUUGUUGACACAGAGUCUGGCUCUGUAGCCCAGGCUGGAGUGCAGGGGCGCAUCUCGGCUCACUGCAACCUCCACCUCCCAGGUUCAAGUGAUUCUCCUGCCUCAGCCUCCAGAGUAGCUGGGGUUACAGGCACACGCCACCAUGCCCAGCUAAUUUUUGUAUUUUUAGUAGAGACGGGGCUCCAUCACAUUGGCCAGGCUGGUCUCGAACCCUGACCUUAAGUAAUCCAUCCACCUCGGUCUCCCAAAGUUCUGGGAUUACAGGUGUGAGCCACCGUGCCUGGCCGACGAGGCACUUUUCCCUCAAGUUAACAAAAGGAAAAGAGAAAAGAGAAACCUUCUGAAGACAAACAAUAGAUAAUUGGGUGAAAGAUGGAUGAAUUCUCCCCACGUCUGUAACUCCUAAGAAACAGAGGCCCUAUGUUCUGCAUGAGGACAUAUCCGUUGUUCACAAUCCCCACACUCAGCUGAAAACCACAAACCCACCCAGAGGGAUUGCCUUUCUUCUUCUCCAUUUGGGUACUUGCUCUCCAGCUGAAUUCCACUUUAAUUUCAUCAGUGAAGGUCAGUUCAAUUGGAUAGACUGCAAGCUCUUUUCAGAAUGUAAGGGAGGAUUACUCUGUGAGAGAUCUAAUCAUUUAUUUUUAAAAUACA